GUUACGUGUCCGUUGCCGUGUUGGGAGAUCAGGACAAACCAACUCUUAUCACUUAUCCUGAUUUAGCUUUAAAUCUACCAGGCCAAAACUCGAAGGAAGUGUUGCAGAUGGAGAAGCAGCUAUUUUGAAGAAGGCCUCGAGAGUUUUCUGGGAAAGAAAAUGGGAUUGGGCGGGAGUUUUCAGGAAGAUUUUGGAUAUCUCUGGGAGGUGGGCUUGGGUUUGUUUUGGAAGAGGUGUGUGCCGAGAUUGUGAUCGAGUUUAGGAGACAGGCUUUGGGAGCAAAAGAGGUUAUUUCCUGGAGGCCUACCGCCUAGUGAGGAAGGGUGAUCUCUUCAUUGUGAGAGUUGGAAUGAGGAGUGUCGAGUUCAAGGUUAUUGAGACUGAUCAUUCUCAGUACUGUGUUGUAGCUCCAGACAUUGAAAUAUUUCCAAUAGGGUUUACUAAAGUGGCUACAGAUAAGAAUUCUAAAGCUGGAUCAAAUGUCUAGGCUAGCCUUUGUCGGUU
Molecule: long non-coding RNA, 504 nt
Organism: Rosa chinensis
Lineage: Eukaryota; Viridiplantae; Streptophyta; Magnoliopsida; Rosales; Rosaceae
Exons: 3
Source: RefSeq, a predicted model, not a curated record